Cyprinus carpio (common carp) is the source of this 317-nucleotide long non-coding RNA. RefSeq lists it as uncharacterized. The record is from RefSeq and is a predicted model, not a curated record. The transcript is spliced from 3 exons. NCBI's taxonomy places the organism in Eukaryota, Metazoa, Chordata, Actinopteri, Cypriniformes, Cyprinidae.
GCAUCACAACCGUGAGCUAACUAUAGAGGCUAACUAUAAGAGGCAUCAAAGAAGCAUUAUGAAAGCUGUAUGGAACGCAGUUUGUCCCGUAUUUAAGGCAUAUGCCGUAUGACCACCUAGACCAUACGAAUACCAAACUCUAAGGUUCGCCAUGAUAACGCCAUGAAAAGGCAACUGCUGGACACCUGGGACAGGCCAUCAAUUCCAAGUUGGCGUCAAUUCCCUGUUAGAGUUUAGAGUUGUCUAAUAGAGAGGGUGAAGGAAGAACAUCCAAACCCUGCCCCUGCUUCCUUCAAGAUUUUUUAUGGAUUUAUAUA